This 700-nucleotide ribosomal RNA is filed under the name uncultured bacterium. RNAcentral's name for it is "bacterial SSU rRNA". It matches the Rfam family "Bacterial small subunit ribosomal RNA", at positions 8 to 703 of the family's 1533-position model. The record is from RNAcentral.
AGAGUUUGAUCAUGGCUCAGAUUGAACGCUGGCGGAAUGCUUUACACAUGCAAGUCGAACGGGCUUAAGGAGCUUGCUCCUUAAGUUAGUGGCGAACGGGUGAGUAAUAUAUCGGAACGUAUCCAAUAAUGGGGGAUAACUAAUCGAAAGGUUGGCUAAUACCGCAUACGCCCUACGGGGGAAAGCUAGGGACCUUCGGGCCUGGCGUUAAUGGAGCGGCCGAUAUCUGAUUAGCUAGUUGGUGGGGUAAAGGCCCACCAAGGCGACGAUCAGUAGCUGGUCUGAGAGAACGACCAGCCACACUGGAACUGAGACACGGUCCAGACUCCUACGGGAGGCAGCAGUGGGGAAUUUUGGACAAUGGGCGAAAGCCUGAUCCAGCCAUUCCGCGUGAGUGAAGAAGGCCUUCGGGUUGUAAAGCUCUUUCGCAAGGGAAGAACACUUAGUCUCUAACAUAGACUGAGGUUGACGGUACCUUGAUAAGAAGCACCGGCUAACUACGUGCCAGCAGCCGCGGUAAUACGUAGGGUGCGAGCGUUAAUCGGAAUUACUGGGCGUAAAGCGUGCGCAGGCUGUUUUGUAAGUCAGAUGUGAAAUCCCCGAGCUCAACUUGGGAACUGCGUUUGAAACUACAAGACUAGAAUAUGUCAGAGGGGGGUAGAAUUCCACGUGUAGCAGUGAAAUGCGUAGAGAUGUGGAG